UAUAAACCUUUGUAAUUAGCAUUUGCAGAGGUCAACGGCAGGGGGAGCAAAGACGCGGCCAAUGGCAUCUAUAGCAGGCCACGCUGUGAUCCUCAACAUGAUAAAUAUCGAUCAUAUGACUUAUGAAAAUAUUCCUGCUCACUUAUCCAAAAAUAGGCGUAUAAAUAGAACGUAAGUAGGAGAAGAGCGAGACUGGGCUAAGCUAAACUAAGCGUGAAUAAGAAACCAUAAACGCGGAUGCUUCUUGUAUUUUAAGGUGGAACGGAUGCGUCAGCUGCGAAUAAGAAGCUGUAUUCAGCCUCUUUCCAAAACGCGAUAAAAGAGAUUAAAAAAAAUAGUUUUCGCCAAAAUCAUAUUAUAUCAGGUCGGUACUGAAAAGUCAACUUGUAUUUUUACGCAAAAUGCGAUAUCCGCCGUGUUUUCUCCCUUUCUUUACAAACCGCCAGUCUCACUUCUCUGCAGGAUGCAAUUGAUCCACUCAACCAAUCACAGCGCACCAUUCCGGGCUUUGGAAACAGUAAUGGCGGCGAUCUGAACACGUUCGGCAUUAUCGGUUCCCUGAUCGACUUUGUGUUCAACAAAACAAACAAACAAAAGACAUGAAUAACUUUGACGUCAUCGAUGAACCUGUGCUGGUUUCUGCGGUGGGGAAGAAACGUAAGGUGGGGCCAACAUAUGGGCUCACAUUUAUGACGGGUUACCUGUCAUCAAAAGGCAUACAUUCAGGUGAAGUACGAGUAUGAAAAAGAGCCACGACAGGUUCAUCAAUCAAAUCAUGAAUUGCGACACAAGGUUUGCAUUACCCUGUCUUUAAGGAUUUUAACUGAGUAAUUUGAUAUGUCUGAUCCUUUCACACUGUAUUAAUUAAAUAUUAUUAUUAUUAAUUAUUCUUGAGUGAAAUGCACAGGCAGUGCUGUUACUUUUAGGGUGUACGCAAUCUGAAUCCAGUCCCCUACUCUGCAGAAUACAUGGGACAUAAACUACACUUGGACCAAAAUGAAAUGCCGGUGAUGGUUGGAGUGACGCAUGUUGUUGCAAUAGAUGGCUUCAGCAGCCAAAUAGUGGCUUAUAACACCAUGCCUGUUAAAAAAAAGUUAACAGACUAUCAGAAAGUUUACAGGUACAUACAUUAACAUGUUUUUUGUUGUUGUUUCAGUCUUACAGCAAUGUAUCUCUAUUCUAGACCUUAGUAAUCACAACACUGCACUUUUUAGAUGUCACAGACUAACAAUUUUCACUCCCUGACUAUGUCCGAACAAAAUCAUCAAAGGUAAGUUUUUCCUACUGUUUUAAAAACAUUACCCGAAGUCCAUUAUUUCUUUGCACAAUACUGUAAAAUAUUAUGAUACCAUAUCCACAGAACCUCAAAAGUUGAGCGUAAUUGGCCAGAAAUAAACAACAGAGUCAACUAUCCCGUGAAAGAACCACUGAUGCAACUUCAGGACCAAGAGAUCAUCAGCAUGGAGGACAACACAACUAAAUUUUGUGUAUCCAAUCUCACCUGUCAGGUUUCCAAAAUUGGGAUUGAACGAACUGUGCAGUCAUGGAAUGAACAUAUGAUUGCAGGUAUUUCUAAACAUGCAUGAAUGACAGGCUAUUUUCUUUUCUUUUUUGUAACAAUGUAAACUGACUUCAUGACUUCACAUCAUUUAGUUGUUUAUAACUGCACUAUUGUCAAGCAUCACAGAUUUGGUAGGUCCUUUCUAUGAUUGACAUCACAGCCGUUUUAUGCACGAGUUGGCUGUUCUGUAUAAUUUUUUAAUACUUUUCUAUCUGUUAAUACAUUGAUUAAUUAUCGUGCUCCUAUUGUAGGAAAAGGUUAUCAAACAUCUUGGCUAAAGGUGGGUGUCCAGCAAAGAUUUCAGAGGAAUUCCUUCCACAGCCCUCUGUUGUUGCAGAUAUGUACAAGAUGUGGAGUCUUGUUUUACAAGAACAUCAACAUUUGCGACGGAUCCCUUUUCUUCGGAGGGCGACAGAGAUUAGAUUAGAUUCAACUUUAUUGUCUUUACACAUAUACAAGUACAGUGUAACAAAGUGUAGUUUAGGUCUAACCAGAAGUGCAAUUAGCAAGUGCAGGAUAUACAGUGUGAAUAAAUACAGAAUACAAUAUUAGGAAAAUACUAUACAAUAGGCAUGUACUAUGAAAAUACUUUACAGAAGGAAUGUUCUAUGAAAAUAUAACAGUCGGUAUGUAGGAAGAGGAAGAUCUCGCUGAGCAAUGCCCAGACAUUACUCUGUGCUUUGUGUUAUGACUUUACACCAGGUUUUUCAUGAGUUUAAUGAUUUUUUGAAGAAUAACAGGAACAAGACAUUUAUCAUAAAACUAAGAAAAUGUACUACAAAUGUCUGUGAAAAGCAGUUUUACAAAGUACAUGUCAUAAAUAGCAAGUCUUUUGCACAGUAUAUGGCAUGUUCAAUUCUAAUAAAAUAAAGCUGUUAUUUCAGGUAUAAAAGUAA
Triplophysa dalaica is the source of this 2457-nucleotide long non-coding RNA. RefSeq lists it as uncharacterized. The transcript is spliced from 2 exons. The record is from RefSeq and is a predicted model, not a curated record. Lineage: Eukaryota; Metazoa; Chordata; Actinopteri; Cypriniformes; Nemacheilidae.